AGUAUGCAGCUGAAGGACUUGAACAG
Molecule: non-coding RNA, 26 nt
Filed under: Homo sapiens (human)
Lineage: Eukaryota; Metazoa; Chordata; Mammalia; Primates; Hominidae
Source: RNAcentral